AGUGAACGCUGGCGGUAGGCCUAACACAUGCAAGUCGAACGGCAGCACAGUAAGAGCUUGCUCUUACGGGUGGCGAGUGGCGGACGGGUGAGGAAUACAUCGGAAUCUACUUUUUCGUGGGAGAUAACGUAGGGAAACCUACGCUAAUACCGCAUACGACCUACGGGUGAAAGCAGGGGAUCUUCGGACCUUGCGCGAUUGAAUGAGCCGAUGUCGGAUUAGCUAGUUGGCGGGGUAAAGGCCCACCAAGGCGACGAUCCGUAGCUGGUCUGAGAGGAUGAUCAGCCACACUGGAACUGAGACACGGUCCAGACUCCUACGGGAGGCAGCAGUGGGGAAUAUUGGACAAUGGGCGCAAGCCUGAUCCAGCCAUACCGCGUGGGUGAAGAAGGCCUUCGGGUUGUAAAGCCCUUUUGUUGGGAAAGAAAAGCAGCAGGUUAAUACCCCGCUGUUCUGACGGUACCCAAAGAAUAAGCACCGGCUAACUUCGUG
Molecule: ribosomal RNA, 492 nt
Filed under: uncultured bacterium
Lineage: Bacteria
Description: partial 16S ribosomal RNA
Rfam family: Bacterial small subunit ribosomal RNA
Source: RNAcentral